This 458-nucleotide long non-coding RNA is filed under the name Pongo abelii (Sumatran orangutan). RNAcentral describes it as "lincRNA". Lineage: Eukaryota; Metazoa; Chordata; Mammalia; Primates; Hominidae. The record is from RNAcentral.
AGGAGGACGAGGUGUCUCCAAUGCCAAGCUGCGGCAGCAGAAGCAGCAGCCACAGCGAACGCAAAAAGCCCGAGCUGUUGGGAGGCGGAGGGUGGGGGGAUCCUGAGGGAGGGACUGCGGCAGGAUGCCCAGCUGUCGGAGCCCCGGCCAGAAACUGAACAACCCACAUGGAUUUGACGAUCAUCCCCUCACGAGAAAUUCUAAGUUUCUUCAUUUGAAAUACUGCUCUCUUCAAGAAACCACAUUGUAAUAAUUUGUAGAAUGUAUUACCAUUAGAAAAUUAAUUAUGUAUUGUGCACACGUUUCUGAAAUACUUCACUGCAGUAAACAGUAUAUGGUGAGAAUUAUUGUUUCCUUUAACAAAAAACUAAUGUGAGUAAAAUUAUUUACAUAAAUUCAGAUGUUCUGGCUUCAACUGCCAUUCUACCUCAUUAGCAUUUCCCUAACUUCAUAAAUGG